GCUCGCAUAGCUCAGUUGGUAGAGCGCGGCACUAGUAAUGCCGAGGUCUACGGUUCAAAUCCGUAUGUGAGCA
This is a transfer RNA of Pseudogymnoascus pannorum, 73 nucleotides long. It matches the Rfam family "tRNA". From Rfam's summary of the family: Transfer RNA (tRNA) molecules are approximately 80 nucleotides in length. Their secondary structure includes four short double-helical elements and three loops (D, anti-codon, and T loops). The record is from Rfam. NCBI's taxonomy places the organism in Eukaryota, Fungi, Ascomycota, Leotiomycetes, Thelebolales, Thelebolaceae.